RNAcentral lists this ribosomal RNA (803 nucleotides) under uncultured bacterium. Its description in RNAcentral is "bacterial SSU rRNA". It matches the Rfam family "Bacterial small subunit ribosomal RNA", at positions 1 to 803 of the family's 1533-position model. The record is from RNAcentral.
GCCCUUAGAGUUUGAUCCUGGCUCAGGAUGACCUCUGGCGGCGUGCCUAAUACAUGCAAGUCGAACGCUUCACUUCGGUGAAGAGUGGCGAACGGGUGAGUAAUACAUAAGUAACCUGGCAUCUACAGGGGGAUAACUGAUGGAAACGUCAGCUAAGACCGCAUAGGUGUAGAGAUCGCAUGAACUCUAUAUGAAAAGUGCUACGGGACUGGUAGAUGAUGGACUUAUGGCGCAUUAGCUUGUUGGUAGGGUAACGGCCUACCAAGGCGACGAUGCGUAGCCGACCUGAGAGGGUGACCGGCCACACUGGGACUGAGACACGGCCCAGACUCCUACGGGAGGCAGCAGUAGGGAAUUUUCGGCAAUGGGGGAAACCCUGACCGAGCAACGCCGCGUGAAGGAAGAAGUAAUUCGUUAUGUAAACUUCUGUCAUAGAGGAAGAACGGUGGAUAUAGGGAAUGAUAUCCAAGUGACGGUACUCUAUAAGAAAGCCACGGCUAACUACGUGCCAGCAGCCGCGGUAAUACGUAGGUGGCGAGCGUUAUCCGGAAUUAUUGGGCGUAAAGAGGGAGCAGGCGGCACUAAGGGUCUGUGGUGAAAGAUCGAAGCUUAACUUCGGUAAGCCAUGGAAACCGUAGAGCUAGAGUGUGUGAGAGGAUCGUGGAAUUCCAUGUGUAGCGGUGAAAUGCGUAGAUAUAUGGAGGAACACCAGUGGCGAAGGCGACGAUCUGGCGCAUAACUGACGCUCAGUCCCGAAAGCGUGGGGAGCAAAUGGGAUUAGAUACCCUAGUAGUCCACGCCGU